Molecule: ribosomal RNA, 694 nt
Filed under: uncultured bacterium
Lineage: Bacteria
Description: bacterial SSU rRNA
Rfam family: Bacterial small subunit ribosomal RNA
Source: RNAcentral
UAACGCGUGGGUAACCUGCCUUGUACAGGGGGAUAACAGUUGGAAACGGCUGCUAAUACCGCAUAAGCGCACGGCAUCGCAUGAUGCAGUGUGAAAAACUCCGGUGGUAUAUGAUGGACCCGCGUUGGAUUAGCUAGUUGGUGAGGUAACGGCCCACCAAGGCGACGAUCCAUAGCCGACCUGAGAGGGUGACCGGCCACAUUGGGACUGAGACACGGCCCAAACUCCUACGGGAGGCAGCAGUGGGGAAUAUUGCACAAUGGGCGAAAGCCUGAUGCAGCGACGCCGCGUGAGCGAAGAAGUAUUUCGGUAUGUAAAGCUCUAUCAGCAGGGAAGAUAAUGACGGUACCUGACUAAGAAGCACCGGCUAAAUACGUGCCAGCAGCCGCGGUAAUACGUAUGGUGCAAGCGUUAUCCGGAUUUACUGGGUGUAAAGGGAGCGCAGGCGGUGCGGCAAGUCUGAUGUGAAAGCCCGGGGCUCAACCCCGGUACUGCAUUGGAAACUGUCGUACUAGAGUGUCGGAGGGGUAAGCGGAAUUCCUAGUGUAGCGGUGAAAUGCGUAGAUAUUAGGAGGAACACCAGUGGCGAAGGCGGCUUACUGGACGAUAACUGACGCUGAGGCUCGAAAGCGUGGGGAGCAAACAGGAUUAGAUACCCUGGNAGUCCACGCCGNAAACGAUGAAUACUAGGUGU